GGAGUUAGGAAAUGUAAGUGCGCUAAUAUCGCAUUUAUCUGACGAAGGCUCCAAAGGAAGCCACGGCUAACUCUGUGCCAGCAGCCGCGGUAAUACAGAGGUGGCAAGCGUUGUUCGGAAUUAUUGGGCGUAAAGAGCACGUAGGUGGGUCUGUAAGUCAGAUGUGAAAGCCUUCUGUUCAACGGAAGAAUUGCAUCUGAAACUGCAGGUCUUGAGUGUAGGAGGGGAGAGUGGAACUUCUGGU
Molecule: ribosomal RNA, 244 nt
Filed under: uncultured anaerobic ammonium-oxidizing bacterium
Lineage: Bacteria
Description: partial 16S ribosomal RNA
Rfam family: Bacterial small subunit ribosomal RNA
Source: RNAcentral